This 207-nucleotide ribosomal RNA is filed under the name uncultured bacterium. Its description in RNAcentral is "partial 16S ribosomal RNA". It matches the Rfam family "Bacterial small subunit ribosomal RNA", at positions 568 to 774 of the family's 1533-position model. The record is from RNAcentral.
UCUGUAGGUUGUUUAGUAAGUCUGCUGUUAAAGACUGGGGCUUAACCCCAGAAAAGCAGUGGAAACUGCUAGACUCGAGUGUGGUAGAGGUAGAGGGAAUUCCUAGUGUAGCGGUGAAAUGCGUAGAUAUUAGGAAGAACACCAAUGGCGAAGGCACUCUACUGGGCCAUAACUGACACUCAGAGACGACAGCUAGGGGAGCAAACG